AGGGGUAUCGCCAAGCGGUAAGGCACGAGACUCUGAAUCUCGCAUGCAUAGGUUCGAAUCCUAUUACCCCUG
This 72-nucleotide transfer RNA is filed under the name Peptococcus niger. It matches the Rfam family "tRNA". Rfam says of the family: Transfer RNA (tRNA) molecules are approximately 80 nucleotides in length. The record is from Rfam by way of RNAcentral. RNAcentral also lists the same sequence under 3 other names. Lineage: Bacteria; Bacillati; Bacillota; Clostridia; Eubacteriales; Peptococcaceae.